This 20-nucleotide microRNA is filed under the name Mus musculus (house mouse). Its description in RNAcentral is "mmu-miR-7680-5p". Lineage: Eukaryota; Metazoa; Chordata; Mammalia; Rodentia; Muridae. The record is from miRBase by way of RNAcentral.
AUUCCAGUGAACAAGCAGUU